Molecule: unclassified non-coding RNA, 277 nt
Filed under: sea anemone metagenome
Description: partial contains small subunit ribosomal RNA and internal transcribed spacer 1
Rfam family: Eukaryotic small subunit ribosomal RNA (bases 1-156)
Source: RNAcentral
GCUACUACCGAUUGAAUGGUUUAGCGAGAUGCUCGGAUCGGGCCCAGCACGUGCGAAAGCAUGUGCCGGGACUGAGAAGAAGUUCAAGCUUGAUCAUUUAGAGGAAGUAAAAGUCGUAACAAGGUUUUCGUAGGUGAACCUGCAGAAGGAUCAAGAUCGUUAGUGCGUCUUGUUGUUAACGAGUGUAGAUCUCGGUUUUCUCCGUUUCUUUAUAAUAUACACUUUUCUUUCUUCUUUUCUUCUUUCUCUUUCCCUUCCCCCUUUUUCUUCUCUCUUC